Long non-coding RNA from Dermochelys coriacea (leatherback sea turtle), 380 nucleotides. RefSeq lists it as uncharacterized. The transcript is spliced from 3 exons. Lineage: Eukaryota; Metazoa; Chordata; Testudines; Dermochelyidae. The record is from RefSeq and is a predicted model, not a curated record.
GCAGGGAUCGGGGUUUUCACCAUCAUGUCAUCUCAUACUCUAACAGGGUUACAUGGCAGGGUGGUGAAAACAUCAGGGUCCCGUUUGCACUACAACUUCCAGUGGUGCCUCACUGGUGGUGAAUUAUGCCUACCAGGCGUGCUAGUGUGCAAUCAAGUGCCCUCCCCCUUCACUGUGGCACUAUGAGCAAAAGGGUGCAAAAUGGCAGAUGCUUCUUUGGCCACCGACCCAAUUGGUUGAAACCCAUCAGCCAUUAGCUCAGAAGCAAAUCCACACAUUUCCUGUCACACAUUUACCCCAGUUCUCAGAAACUGCAAAAAUAACUAUACAAGGUGUCAAAGUAGCAGCCGUGUUAGUCUGUAUUCGCAAAAAGAAAAGAG